GGAAAGGGAGGGGGCAGAGAUCACCCUAGGAGUGUGCACAGGGGGCAGCUGCCGGUGGAGGGUGUUUGGCUGCUAGGAAAAAUGGCUGCCAGGGUCCUGUAAAGCAAAGCUUGCUUGGAGAAUGGGCGAAGAUGUAGGUGUAAGUGAUUUGCUCAAGAUUAUGCAACCUCCCUGGGCAUAGCCCCCACUUCCUUGGGAAUUUCCUAGCAUGUCCUGGAACGGGCCUCCAUCAUUCCCCAUUUCCUGCUGCAUGAGGAGACAUUGCCCCCUACAAAAACUAGAUAGUGUAAUAUCUGCCCCUGGUGUGUCCGGAAUUGGUCCCUUCUGGUGGGUUCUUGGUCUGCUGACUUCAAGAAUGAAGCCACGGACCCUCAUGGUGAGUGUUACAGUUCUUAAAGAUGGUGUGUCUGGAGUUUGUUCCUUCAGAUGUUCAGAUGUAUCCGGAGUUUCUUCCUUCCAGUGGGUUCGUGGUCUCGCUGAGUUCAGGAGUGAAGUCGCAGACCUUCGCAAUGAAAGAAAAGAUGUGAAGCCCUGGAAAACUUGGCUUUGAAGAUGCCAAACUCACUUUAGAGAAGAGAAAGGCAUUACUGUUGGAGAUGCUUGUGAAGAAUUUGAGUUAAAAAAAUUGUUUUCUAACCAAAUACCACAUGUUCUCACUUAUAAGUGGGAGCUAAACUUGGAGCAUCUGUGGACAUAAACAUGGGAAUAAUGGAUACUGCAGACUACUAGA
Molecule: long non-coding RNA, 730 nt
Organism: Pan troglodytes (chimpanzee)
Lineage: Eukaryota; Metazoa; Chordata; Mammalia; Primates; Hominidae
Exons: 3
Source: RefSeq, a predicted model, not a curated record